Molecule: ribosomal RNA, 253 nt
Filed under: uncultured bacterium
Lineage: Bacteria
Description: partial 16S ribosomal RNA
Rfam family: Bacterial small subunit ribosomal RNA
Source: RNAcentral
GACGGAGGAUGCAAGUGUUAUCCGGAAUCACUGGGCGUAAAGCGUCUGUGGGUUGUUCAAUAAGUCAACUGUUAAAUCUUGAGGCUCAACUUCAAAAUCGCAGUCGAAACUGUUAAACUAGAGUAUAGUAGGGGUAAAGGGAAUUUCCAGUGGAGCGGUGAAAUGCGUAGAGAUUGGAAAGAACACCAAUGGCGAAAGCACUUUACUGGGCUAUUACUGACACUGAGAGACGAAAGCUAGGGUAGCAAAUGGG